GAUUCCCCCAGUAGCGGCGAGCGAACGGGGAGGAGCCCAGAGCCUGAAUCAGUGUGUGUGUUAGUGGAAGCGUCUGGAAAGGCGCGCGAUACAGGGUGACAGCCCCGUACACAAAAAUGCACAUAUUGUGAGCUCGAUGAGUAGGGCGGGACACGUGGUAUCCUGUCUGAAUAUGGGGGGACCAUCCUCCAAGGCUAAAUACUCCUGACUGACCGAUAGUGAACCAGUACCGUGAGGGAAAGGCGAAAAGAACCCCGGCGAGGGGAGUGAAAAAGAACCUGAAACCGUGUACGUACAAGCAGUGGGAGCACGCUUAGGCGUGUGACUGCGUACCUUUUGUAUAAUGGGUCAGCGACUUAUAUUCUGUAGCAAGGUUAACCGAAUAGGGGAGCCGAAGGGAAACCGAGUCUUAACUGGGCGUUAAGUUGCAGGGUAUAGACCCGAAACCCGGUGAUCUAGCCAUGGGCAGGUUGAAGGUUGGGUAACACUAACUGGAGGACCGAACCGACUAAUGUUGAAAAAUUAGCGGAUGACUUGUGGCUGGGGGUGAAAGGCCAAUCAAACCGGGAGAUAGCUGGUUCUCCCCGAAAGCU
Molecule: ribosomal RNA, 593 nt
Filed under: Escherichia coli
Lineage: Bacteria; Pseudomonadati; Pseudomonadota; Gammaproteobacteria; Enterobacterales; Enterobacteriaceae
Description: partial 23S ribosomal RNA
Rfam family: Bacterial large subunit ribosomal RNA
Source: RNAcentral